GUCCCCGUAGCUCAAUUGGAUAGAGCGCAGCCCUCCGAAGGCUGAGGUUACAGGUUCAACUCCUGUCGGGGAUG
This 74-nucleotide transfer RNA is filed under the name Pseudomonadota bacterium. Its description in RNAcentral is "tRNA-Arg". It matches the Rfam family "tRNA". Rfam says of the family: Transfer RNA (tRNA) molecules are approximately 80 nucleotides in length. Their secondary structure includes four short double-helical elements and three loops (D, anti-codon, and T loops). RNAcentral also lists the same sequence under 1 other name. The record is from RNAcentral. Lineage: Bacteria; Pseudomonadati; Pseudomonadota.